GGUUCAUCCACUUUGAGUUUCCAAUCUGACCUGUAAUCACGAAUCCUUUUAAUAAAAUCACGCCCAUUAGAAUCUGUGUAAAAUGUCCUGUCGGUCAUCAUAUCUGUCGUUAUUUGAACUGCUAUUUCUUUUCCAACUUCGUCGUCAAUGGGUAUGGGCCCAACAAUGAACUCAAAUUCGACAUGCUCCUUCGCCUUAUACACUCUUGUGAUCUGAGAAAUCCAAGGAUUGAUCUGAUGAUGCACUUCAUCUAAUAUAGGUCCUUGAAGAAUUUUGACAGGCACCUUUCCUUCAGGCUUUAUAGAGUAGGUACCGUUGGGUCGGAAAAUAUACGCUCCAGAGGCCUGAGGUUCACCGCCCGUUCCAUUAUAUCCAGCAUAAUAUAUGUACGAGUUUUCUAAAGAUGCUUUCACCAAGCUCCUGCUAUUGGAAUAAUAGGAUAGUUUUCCGUCAUUUGCAUUAUAAAGAAGCUUCAAGUGUCCCUGUCCAACUUCCACGGUGUUACUGUUACUUUCUUUGGGUGAAUAUUGUGUC
RNAcentral lists this unclassified non-coding RNA (534 nucleotides) under Hevea brasiliensis (rubber tree). Lineage: Eukaryota; Viridiplantae; Streptophyta; Magnoliopsida; Malpighiales; Euphorbiaceae. The record is from RNAcentral.